AAGUCAUGUCCCCCUAAAGUUGUAGCGGAGCGGACAGUAGAUAGCAAUUCUUAUCAUGUCUAAUCUUAUUCCCCUAAAGUUGUAGUGGAAUAGAUGGAAGCGAAGUCACAAACCUUGUCUCUCUGAAGUUGCAGUAAAGCAGGUUGAAGUCACGAAUCUUAUCCCCCUGAAGUUGUAGUGGGGCAAGUUGAAGAUAUGAGUCUGAUCUCCCUGAAGUUGCAGUGGAGCGGGUCAAAAUGAUGGACCUUACCCCCUGAAGUUACAACAGAAUGGAUUGAAGCCACAAGUCAUAUCUCUUCUUGAAGUUGCAGUGGAGAGGAUCGACGCAACAAGACAAAGUGGACUGAAAUGAAGCUACUUGAAGAAGAAAGGCGAAUCUUAUUUCCUCGGCAAGACUGGGCAAAAAUUGGUCUUUCUUAGUCUUU
Molecule: long non-coding RNA, 425 nt
Filed under: Gossypium barbadense (sea-island cotton)
Lineage: Eukaryota; Viridiplantae; Streptophyta; Magnoliopsida; Malvales; Malvaceae
Description: long non-coding RNA (GBAR_LNC022435)
Source: RNAcentral